GGGGAUAUGGUGGAAUGGUAGACACUGCAGACUUAAAAUCUGUUGGCAAUGCCGUGAGGGUUCAAAUCCCUCUAUCCCUA
This 80-nucleotide transfer RNA is filed under the name Karlodinium veneficum. RNAcentral describes it as "tRNA-Leu". It matches the Rfam family "tRNA". Rfam says of the family: Transfer RNA (tRNA) molecules are approximately 80 nucleotides in length. Their secondary structure includes four short double-helical elements and three loops (D, anti-codon, and T loops). The record is from RNAcentral. Lineage: Eukaryota; Dinophyceae; Gymnodiniales; Kareniaceae.